UGCCUAACACAUGCAAGUCGAACGGCAGCAUGGCAAAGUGCUUGCACUUUGCUGAUGGCGAGUGGCGGACGGGUGAGUAACGCGUAGGAAUCUACCCUUAAGAUUGGGACAACCCGGGGAAACUCGGGCUAAUACCGAAUAGACACUCUGCGGAGGAAAGCUGGGGACCUGAAAGGGCCUGGCGCUUGAGGAGGAGCCUGCGUCCGAUUAGCUAGUUGGUAGGGUAAAGGCCUACCAAGGCGACGAUCGGUAACUGGUUUGAGAGAAUGACCAGUCACACUGGGACUGAGAGACGGCCCAGACUCCUACGGGAGGCAGCAGUGGGGAAUAUUGGACAAUGGGGGCAACCCUGAUCCAGCCAUGCCGCGUGUGUGAAGAAGGCCUGAGGGUUGUAAAGCUC
RNAcentral lists this ribosomal RNA (400 nucleotides) under uncultured organism. RNAcentral's name for it is "bacterial SSU rRNA". It matches the Rfam family "Bacterial small subunit ribosomal RNA", at positions 45 to 433 of the family's 1533-position model. The record is from RNAcentral.